UACGUAGGGGGCUAGCGUUGUCCGGAAUCAUUGGGCGUAAAGCGCGCGUAGGCGGCCAGAUAAGUCCGGUGUGAAAGUCACAGGCUCAACCUGUGAAUGCCGCUGGAAACUGCCUGGCUUGAGUCCGGAAGGGGCGAGUGGAAUUCCUGGUGUAGCGGUGGAAUGCGCAGAUAUCAGGAAGAACACCCGUGGCGAAGGCGGCUCUCUGGGACGGUACUGACGCUGAGACGCGAAAGCUAGGGGAGCGAACAGG
This 253-nucleotide ribosomal RNA is filed under the name uncultured bacterium. RNAcentral's name for it is "partial 16S ribosomal RNA". It matches the Rfam family "Bacterial small subunit ribosomal RNA", at positions 524 to 776 of the family's 1533-position model. The record is from RNAcentral.